RNAcentral lists this ribosomal RNA (445 nucleotides) under uncultured bacterium. Its description in RNAcentral is "bacterial SSU rRNA". It matches the Rfam family "Bacterial small subunit ribosomal RNA", at positions 354 to 796 of the family's 1533-position model. The record is from RNAcentral.
GUAAGGAAUAUUGGACAAUGGACGAAAGUCUGAUCCAGCCAUGCCGCGUGAAGGAUUAAGGUCCUCUGGAUUGUAAACUUCUUUUAUUUGGGACGAAAAAAGAUCAUUCUUGAUCACUUGACGGUACCAGAUGAAUAAGCACCGGCUAACUCCGUGCCAGCAGCCGCGGUAAUACGGAGGGUGCAAGCGUUAUCCGGAUUCACUGGGUUUAAAGGGUGCGUAGGCGGGUUUGUAAGUCAGUGGUGAAAUACUGGAGCUUAACUCCAGAACUGCCAUUGAUACUAUAAGUCUUGAAUAUUGCGGAGGUAAGCGGAAUAUGUCAUGUAGCGGUGAAAUGCUUAGAUAUGACAUAGAACACCCAUUGCGAAGGCAGCUUACUACACAUAUAUUGACGCUGAGGCACGAAAGCGUGGGGAUCAAACAGGAUUAGAAACCCUAGUAGUCC